CCGAUCAUGUGGUGUCAACGGUAUCCACGACUGCUUAACGUCGCCCGGCCUGGCCGGUGCAUUAAGCAGUAGAUCUGAGUUCGAUUCUCAGCAUCCGGU
Elasticomyces elasticus is the source of this 99-nucleotide non-coding RNA. Lineage: Eukaryota; Fungi; Ascomycota; Dothideomycetes; Mycosphaerellales; Teratosphaeriaceae. The record is from the annotation of a GenBank genome assembly.